This 598-nucleotide ribosomal RNA is filed under the name uncultured bacterium. RNAcentral's name for it is "bacterial SSU rRNA". It matches the Rfam family "Bacterial small subunit ribosomal RNA", at positions 258 to 847 of the family's 1533-position model. The record is from RNAcentral.
UAACGGCUUACCAAGGCGAUGAUGCAUAGCCGAGUUGAGAGACUGAUCGGCCACAAUGGAACUGAGACACGGUCCAUACUCCUACGGGAGGCAGCAGUAGGGAAUCUUCCACAAUGGGCGCAAGCCUGAUGGAGCAACACCGCGUGAGUGAAGAAGGGUUUCGGCUCGUAAAGCUCUGUUGUUGGAGAAGAACGUGCGUGAGAGUAACUGUUCACGCAGUGACGGUAUCCAACCAGAAAGUCACGGCUAACUACGUGCCAGCAGCCGCGGUAAUACGUAGGUGGCAAGCGUUAUCCGGAUUUAUUGGGCGUAAAGCGAGCGCAGGCGGUUGCUUAGGUCUGAUGUGAAAGCCUUCGGCUUAACCGAAGAAGUGCAUCGGAAACCGGGCGACUUGAGUGCAGAAGAGGACAGUGGAACUCCAUGUGUAGCGGUGGAAUGCGUAGAUAUAUGGAAGAACACCAGUGGCGAAGGCGGCUGUCUGGUCUGCAACUGACGCUGAGGCUCGAAAGCAUGGGUAGCGAACAGGAUUAGAUACCCUGGUAGUCCAUGCCGUAAACGAUGAGUGCUAGGUGUUGGAGGGUUUCCGCCCUUCAGUGCC